UUCUAAGGGCGUUGAAGCAUGAUCGCAAGGACAUGUGGAGCGCUUAGAAGUGAGAAUGCCGGUGUGAGUAGCGAAAGACGGGUGAGAAUCCCGUCCACCGAUUGACUAAGGUUUCCAGAGGAAGGCUCGUCCGCUCUGGGUUAGUCGGGUCCUAAGCUGAGGCCGACAGGCGUAGGCGAUGGAUAACAGGUUGAUAUUCCUGUACCACCAUUAUUCGUUUUAAGCGAUGGGGGGACGCAGUAGGAUAGGCGAAGCGUGCUGUUGGAGUGCACGUCCAAGCAGUGAGAUUGAGUGUUAGGCAAAUCCGGCACUCUUAAGAUUGAGCUGUGAUGGGGAGAGGAACUUGUUCCUCGAGUCGUUGAUUUCACACUGCCGAGAAAAGCCUCUAGCUAGAAUAACGGUGCCCGUACCGCAAACCGACACAGGUAGUCAAGAUGAGAAUUCUAAGGUGAGCGAGCGAACUCUCGUUAAGGAACUCGGCAAAAUGACCCCGUAACUUCGGGAGAAGGGGUGCUCUUUGAGGUUCACGCUUCGAAGAGCCGCAGUGAAUAGGCCCAAGCGACUGUUUAUCAAAAACACAGGUCUCUGCUAAACCGUAAGGUGACGUAUAGGGGCUGACGCCUGCCCGGUGCUGGAAGGUUAAGAGGAGUGGUUAGCGCAAGCGAAGCUACGAAUCGAAGCCCCAGUAAACGGCGGCCGUAACUAUAACGGUCCUAAGGUAGCGAAAUUCCUUGUCGGGUAAGUUCCGACCCGCACGAAAGGCGUAACGAUUUGGGCACUGUCUCAACGAGAGACUCGGUGAAAUCAUAGUACCGGUGAAGAUGCCGGUUACCCGCGACAGGACGGAAAGACCCCGUGGAGCUUUACUGUAGCCUGAUAUUGAAAUUCGGUACAGUUUGUACAGGAUAGGUAGGAGCCUUAGAAGCGUGAGCGCUAGCUUACGUGGAGGCAUUGGUGGGAUACUACCCUAAUUGUAUUGGAUUUCUAACCCGCAGCACUUAUCGUGCUGGGAGACAGUGUCAGGCGGGCAGUUUGACUGGGGCGGUCGCCUCCUAAAGAGUAACGGAGGCGCUCAAAGGUUCCCUCAGAAUGGUUGGAAAUCAUUCAUAGAGUGUAAAGGCAUAAGGGAGCUUGACUGCGAGACCUACAAGUCGAGCAGGGUCGAAAGACGGACUUAGUGAUCCGGUGGUUCCGCAUGGAAGGGCCAUCGCUCAACGGAUAAAAGCUACCCCGGGGAUAACAGGCUUAUCUCCCCCAAGAGUUCACAUCGACGGGGAGGUUUGGCACCUCGAUGUCGGCUCAUCGCAUCCUGGGGCUGUAGUCGGUCCCAAGGGUUGGGCUGUUCGCCCAUUAAAGCGGUACGCGAGCUGGGUUCAGAACGUCGUGAGACAGUUCGGUCCCUAUCCGUCGUGGGCGUAGGAAAUUUGAGAGGAGCUGUCCUUAGUACGAGAGGACCGGGAUGGACAUACCUCUGGUGUACCAGUUGUCGUGCCAACGGCAUAGCUGGGUAGCUAUGUAUGGACGGGAUAAGUGCUGAAAGCA
This 1542-nucleotide ribosomal RNA is filed under the name Staphylococcus pseudintermedius. RNAcentral's name for it is "partial 23S ribosomal RNA". It matches the Rfam family "Bacterial large subunit ribosomal RNA", at positions 1239 to 2779 of the family's 2925-position model. Lineage: Bacteria; Bacillati; Bacillota; Bacilli; Caryophanales; Staphylococcaceae. The record is from RNAcentral.